This 498-nucleotide ribosomal RNA is filed under the name Bifidobacterium breve. Its description in RNAcentral is "bacterial SSU rRNA". It matches the Rfam family "Bacterial small subunit ribosomal RNA", at positions 196 to 704 of the family's 1533-position model. Lineage: Bacteria; Bacillati; Actinomycetota; Actinomycetes; Bifidobacteriales; Bifidobacteriaceae. The record is from RNAcentral.
UGUUGGGAAAGCCUUUGCGGCAUGGGAUGGGGUCGCGUCCUAUCAGCUUGAUGGCGGGGUAACGGCCCACCAUGGCUUCGACGGGUAGCCGGCCUGAGAGGGCGACCGGCCACAUUGGGACUGAGAUACGGCCCAGACUCCUACGGGAGGCAGCAGUGGGGAAUAUUGCACAAUGGGCGCAAGCCUGAUGCAGCGACGCCGCGUGAGGGAUGGAGGCCUUCGGGUUGUAAACCUCUUUUGUUAGGGAGCAAGGCAUUUUGUGUUGAGUGUACCUUUCGAAUAAGCACCGGCUAACUACGUGCCAGCAGCCGCGGUAAUACGUAGGGUGCAAGCGUUAUCCGGAAUUAUUGGGCGUAAAGGGCUCGUAGGCGGUUCGUCGCGUCCGGUGUGAAAGUCCAUCGCUUAACGGUGGAUCCGCGCCGGGUACGGGCGGGCUUGAGUGCGGUAGGGGAGACUGGAAUUCCCGGUGUAACGGUGGAAUGUGUAGAUAUCGGAAAA